UUUCACAUUGCAGUCAAUUUUGUCCAGUCGAGAUUUUUUUCAGAAACAAUCAAAUAAAUAAAUAAUUGAAAACAAUCAAUUGUCGAUUAAAUAGUUCGGAGUUAUCUCCUAGACUUGUGUAGAACUGAUUUUCCAUAAAACAAAUGGUUUGGAAACAACGCAACAUUUCAAAUCACCAAAGUUAAAUUUCCUAUAGGAAUAUUCUACAGAAAUAAGAGCAUCAGAUAGGGAGCGAUUCUAUAGUCAACUUCACAUCAGAAACCACUGUGCCAUUUCCAAUUAGAAAAUGUGAACGUGACUGAACCGGUGGGUAGCAGGGGUUUGCACAUCAUGGUGAUUCACGAACUUAACAUCUAAACAGAUAACACUGAAUCAACAAUUUGACGCCACAAUGCACGGUUCGAGGCCGCAUCUCUCCAUCCUCGGAUACGCCCCACGCUCGCCAAGUCGUUCUGCACCUGGUCUGCCCAUCUCGCUCGCUGCGCUCCACGCCGUCUCGUACCUGCCGGAUCGGAAGCGAACACCAUCUUUGCAGGGUUGCUGUCCGGCAUUCUUGCAACAUGUCCUGCCCAUCGUACCCUUCCGGCUUUAGCUACCUUCUGGAUACUGGGUUCGCCGUAGAGUUGGGCGAGCUCAUGGUUCAUUCUUCGCCGCCACACACCGUCUUCUUGCACACCGCCAAAGAUGGUCCUAAGCACCCGUCUCUCGAAUACUCCGAGUGCU
Molecule: long non-coding RNA, 723 nt
Organism: Armigeres subalbatus
Lineage: Eukaryota; Metazoa; Arthropoda; Insecta; Diptera; Culicidae
Exons: 3
Source: RefSeq, a predicted model, not a curated record